Long non-coding RNA from Peromyscus leucopus (white-footed mouse), 3056 nucleotides. RefSeq lists it as uncharacterized. The record is from RefSeq and is a predicted model, not a curated record. Lineage: Eukaryota; Metazoa; Chordata; Mammalia; Rodentia; Cricetidae. The transcript is spliced from 4 exons.
AACUGCUAAGAAACAAGGCAUUCAGGUGAAGUGGAAGGCUUUGAAAUAUAGAAAGCCUUGGAAUAUAUGUUAAUAAAGGGCAUCCACAAGAAAGUGCUUACUGAAAUAACAGAAAAAUGGAUCAUAAAAAUGAGUCACUCCUCUAAAAAUGGCCUAGUGGCAAGCUACUUGGCUGUCUGAAUUAAUGAUGCCAAGGUCAAGAAUAUGAGACAGAAAAGGGCUGGUUAGAAAAGGCCACCCUGAAGAACUCAGAAGGCAUCUGAGAAGUCAGAGUGGGUGACCAUGGCUAGUUACCGAUGAGAGCUAGGGUCAAAGAAGAUGAGAGAAGAAACGAAAGCUAGAGAGGACAAGUGGAACGCUACCAAAAUCUUCUGUGUGCCCUGCAUGUGAGAAGGGUCUUGAGAAGGAAUAGACUAUCCAUUAAAAAACGGUCCAUUUGAAGUUAUCUCCUUGAAGGGUUUGCAAAGCAUCUGGACUAUGAUUGACUGCAGGCUGGUGGAAAGAGUAUGUUUUUAAAGUAGCAUACUAUAAAAGGAAUCAGUAAACGACAAGACUCGGACUGAAGAGAGAUGGCAAAUGACAAAGCCACACACAGAAGACAAAUACCUAGAGCCAUCCGAUUCAGCUAUCCCUGACUCGCGUGAUCAAUGGGUCUUCUGAAGAUUUUACACAAAAGGCCGAUGAUUUUCAGUUUUGAGGAGCCAGUGUCUUUCGGGGCUCCUGAAUCAAGAUUAUGAUAUGUACACCAUUCUGUUUUCACACCUUGCCCUGGUUAGCUUUUUGUCAAAUUGACAAAAGUUAGGGUCAUCUGGGAGGAGAUCACCUGAACUGGGAAAAUGCUCCCAGCAGACUGGCCUGCUGGCAAGCCUGUAAUCCAUGAUUGGUAUGAGGGGGCCCUGUUCACCUGGGUGGUGCUACCUCAGGGCAGGUGGUCCCGGGUUCUACAAGCAAUCAGGCUGAGCAAGCCACGAGGGUGCUAGCCAGUAAGCAGCAUCCCCCCUGGCCUUUGUAUCAGCUCCGGGUUCCUGUCUUGUUUGAGUUCCUGCCCUUGCUUCCCCCAGUGAUGGACUGUGCUGUAGAAUCAUAAGCGGAAACAAGCCUUUCCUCCCAAAGCUGGUUUUGGCCAGGGUGUUUAUCACAGCAACAGAAACACUCACUUGGAAUUUGUGCGAGCCCAUGUGUUUUUGGGAGGAUUGUGAUGGCAUUUGAACUUCGGGCUAGAAAAGCCAGUAAGUGCUCAAAGCCUAAUGAGUUGUUUCCUGGGGAGCAAGUGAAGUGUAGCCAAAAUAAAUCCUUUGCUCCCUACGUUGCUUUGGUCAUAGUGUUUCAACACAGUAAUAGAAAACUAAAACAAACAUCGAUCUCCACCUGUCUAACUAGGUGACACAGGCUGGUCAGACCGGGCACUCAUGCGCUCUCUUCUCUCUCUCUCUCUCUCUCUCUCUCUCUCUCUCUCUCUCUCUCUCUCUCUCUCACACACACACACACACACACACACACACACACACACACACAGCUUGGCCCUGUGGAGUAGAGUAAUGGCUGAAGCUGGAGCUGAAGUUGGAGUAUGACUACCACGGUGACAAGCUGUGAUAUAUCAUAUUGCAAGCUGUUUGGGUCAGGCUGAAUUCAUUCCAGAGGCCACAUUUGGCAACUCUAUUCUUAAAUAACAAAAAGUAUUCUAUUUGAAGAACAGAAAGCACAAGGUUGUUUACUACUCAGUAAGUAUUCAGCAUAACAGGGGUCAGGCUAGGUUAGCCACAUAAAUGAACACAGAGGGAGCAGCAACAGACACUGUGCAUGGUGGCAUCCUACUGUAACCCCAACUCCUGGGUGGGCACAGCAGGAGGAGUGCUGUGAAUUUGAGGCCCAGCCUGGGCUGCAUGGUGAGUUCAUCAGUCAGCACUUUAGAGACUCUGCCUCAAAAAAAAUCUCAAACUAAACAAAACCAAGCGAUAGACAAUAUACAAACAUCAAUUUAUCAAACACCCAUGUAGACUACCAUACCUUCCCAGCCUUGAUGACAAAUUAUUUCUGGGGGAGUCCUUGCCUAGUUUGUACAAGGCCCUAGGUUUGAUCUCCAGUACACAGACAAAAAAAAUGAUCAUAUUUCUUUAGACUUCCUUCCUAUCAAACUAUGUAUGAUUAUCCAUUUAAUGUGUUGCUUCCUCCGCCAGAAGGACGGCUCUGCACCAGCAGGGGCCGUGCGUUGGUUCAACGUCUUGACUGUUGAUCAUGGAGCACAAAGUGAUACUGUUUUCGUAGGGCUUCUACUGCGGUGAUAAAACACCAUGACCGAAAAGCAACCUUGGGAGGAAAGGGUUGAUUUCGGCUUAUGUGUCCUAACCACAGUCCAUCGUGAAGGGAAGUCAUGGCAGGAGCUCAAGGCAGGACUGAAGCAAGGCCAAGGUGGAUUGCUGCUUACUGGCUUACUCCUUUUUACUAAUGUUUAUUUACACGUAUGAUCAUGUAUCUGUGUGUAUGCCACGCAUGUGUCUCUGGAGGGUGGCGGAUCCCCUGGUGUUGGAGUAACAGGAGGUUGUGAGCUAUCUGAUAUCGGGGCUAGGAAUUGAACUGGGGUCCCCUGAAAGUGCAGCAACCACUCUUCACUAUUGAGCCACCUCUCAGCCUCUUGGGGAGCUGUUUCUUUCUUUCAGUGUUGGGGACUGAACCCAGGGUUUUGAACAUAACAGCAAAACGCUCUAUCAUUGAGUUACAUCCCUAGUCCUUCAGUCCUUUUUCUUAUCUAUUUUUGAAACAUGGUCUUACCAUGCCACCUUGGCUGGUCUGGAACUUGCUAUGUAGACCAUGUUGGCCUCGAACUUACAGAGAUCCAAGUGCCUCUACCUCCUAGAGCUUGGAGACGAGAGAGACAGAGAGAGAGAGACAGAGAGACAGAGACAGAGAGAGACAAAGACAGAGGUGGGAGAGAGAAAGAGCCCACCACACCUUGUGCAUAUUACUCUCUUAAUAGCAAGUUGAGUGGCAGAAUCCUUGCCUAGCAUAUGCAAGGGUCAAUUCCUAGUUCCACAAAAACAAAACAAAACAAAACAAAA